RNAcentral lists this unclassified non-coding RNA (212 nucleotides) under Hevea brasiliensis (rubber tree). The record is from RNAcentral. Lineage: Eukaryota; Viridiplantae; Streptophyta; Magnoliopsida; Malpighiales; Euphorbiaceae.
AGUUUCAUUUCAAAGGUGGUGCAGAGAUGACAUUGCCAAUAGCAAAUUACUUCUCAUUUGCAGGUGAAAUUGAUGUCAUUUGCUUAACAAUGGUUACAGAUAGUGCUUUUGGCCCUGAAUUAUCUACCGGUCCAUCGAUAAUUCUGGGCAAUUUUCAGAUGCAGAAUUACUUAGUUGAAUUUGAUCUCAAAAAUGAAAAGUUUGGAUUCAAG